GCAGUCGAACGCUUCUUUUCCCACCGGAGCUUGCUCCACCGGGAAAAGAGGAGUGGCUGAACGGGUGAGUAACACGUGGGUAACCUGCCCAUCAGAAGGGGAUAACACUUGGAAACAGGUGCUAAUACCGUAUAACAAUCGAAACCGCAUGGUUUCGUUUUGAAAGGCGCUUUACGGUGCCGCUGAUGGAUGGACCCGCGGUGCAUUAGCUAGUUGGUGAGGUAACGGCUCACCAAGGCCACGAUGCAUAGCCGACCUGAGAGGGUGAUCGGCCACAUUGGGACUGAGACACGGCCCAAACUCCUACGGGAGGCAGCAGUAGGGAAUCUUCGGCAAUGGACGAAAGUCUGACCGAGCAACGCCGCGUGAGUGAAGAAGGUUUUCGGAUCGUAAAACUCUGUUGUUAGAGAAGAACAAGGGUGAGAGUAACUGUUCACCCCUUGACGGUAUCUAACCAGAAAGCCACGGCUAACUACGUGCCAGCAGCCGCGGUAAUACGUAGGUGGCAAGCGUUGUCCGGAUUUAUUGGGCGUAAAGCGAGCGCAAGCGGUUUCUUAAGUCUGAUGUGAAAGCCCCCGGCUCAACCGGGGAGGGUCAUUGGAAACUGGGAGACUUGAGUGCAGAAGAGGAGAGUGGAAUUCCAUGUGUAGCGGUGAAAUGCGUAGAUAUAUGGAGGAACACCAGUGGCGAAGGCGGCUCUCUGGUCUGUAACUGACGCUGAGGCUCGAAAGCGUGGGGAGCAAACAGGAUUAGAUACCCUGGUAGUCCACGCCGUAAACGAUGAGUGCUAAGUGUUGGAGGGUUUCCGCCCUUCAGUGCUGCAGCUAACGCAUUAAGCACUCCGCCUGGGGAGUACGACCGCAAGGUUGAAACUCAAAGGAAUUGACGGGGGCCCGCACAAGCGGUGGAGCAUGUGGUUUAAUUCGAAGCAACGCGAAGAACCUUACCAGGUCUUGACAUCCUUUGACCACUCUAGAGAUAGAGCUUCCCCUUCGGGGGCAAAGUGACAGGUGGUGCAUGGUUGUCGUCAGCUCGUGUCGUGAGAUGUUGGGUUAAGUCCCGCAACGAGCGCAACCCUUAUUGUUAGUUGCCAUCAUUUAGUUGGGCACUCUAGCAAGACUGCCGGUGACAAACCGGAGGAAGGUGGGGAUGACGUCAAAUCAUCAUGCCCCUUAUGACCUGGGCUACACACGUGCUACAAUGGGAAGUACAACGAGUCGCGAAGUCGCGAGGCUAAGCUAAUCUCUUAAAGCUUCUCUCAGUUCGGAUUGUAGGCUGCAACUCGCCUACAUGAAGCCGGAAUCGCUAGUAAUCGCGGAUCAGCACGCCGCGGUGAAUACGUUCCCGGGCCUUGUACACACCGCCAGUCACACCACGAGAGUUUGUAACACCCGAAGUCGGUGAGGUAACCUUUUGGAGCCAGCC
This 1425-nucleotide ribosomal RNA is filed under the name Enterococcus mundtii. RNAcentral's name for it is "bacterial SSU rRNA". It matches the Rfam family "Bacterial small subunit ribosomal RNA". The record is from RNAcentral. Lineage: Bacteria; Bacillati; Bacillota; Bacilli; Lactobacillales; Enterococcaceae.